CCUACUUCUCAAACUCAGGAAUUAGUAGCUAUAGAAUAAAGGACAAACUUGUCAUGGACUGCGACCCAUCACAGCCCAUAUUGGCCCCAUUGAACACAACUGUUCCCGUUUCAGUUGUUCUCUUUCCCAUGCCCGUCCUGUUGCAUUGGUCUGCUCCCAGGGAUCCCUUGGAAGCCGGAAGCCGGAAGCUGGAAGCCGGAAGCCGGAAGCCAGAAGCCGGUGGUUGUUCCAACUUCCUUUGCUGUGCCAUCAGCACUCGUGUGUUCCUGCGUACUGCAGCAUGUUUUCUAUCGUGCCGUCGUUAUUUGCCUGACUACCUCACCAGAUUGCGAGCAGAUUACACCGUGCCUUCCUCCUUGACUUCCUCCCUUUGCUCCUUCCCUAGAAGAGCCCUUUGUAGGCUCUCAGUUAAGGUUUAUUUAAUUGAACUAUAUUUUAAAGCACAAAUCCGGUGCCAGAAUUUUAAAGUGGUAGGAGAAGGCCAUAAAUGGAAUUCUCUAAAAAAACAAACAGGAAACAAACAACACACAGGCACACACUAACUACAGGUGGGUGGCUCACUGUUGAUUUUAUCAGCCAAAUAAAAGAUUUACAAAAACGUUGAAGAGAUGGAGCAGAGGAAUGAAAACUUGAUAUUUAAAGAAACAUAGAAUGAAAUCUAAGGCACAUUUUGGAAAGCUAGAACAGAAAAACAAUGCUAGAACAGAAAAACAAUCCUGGAACAGGCUUUCAUACACAAGCUGUACUCUAGAGAGGCAAACAAGGCGUAGGAGGAUUAGAGAUAAGGAAAAUGAGCACAGAGUCCAGGCCUGCCCAGUACACCGCAGGAGGAGUUACUGGCACCUCCAUGCAGGUGGGGAGGGUGCUGUGCCUUUGAGCCUUGGGCAAGUUGACAAACAGUCCAGGUGCAGGUGGCUUGGACCAACUACAUGGAAAUCAACGGAGAUGCCUGGAUUUUGUUCCCCUGCAUUCAAGGAGACACAACUAUGGAAAUUUUACUGGAUAAACUCCCAGGUUUUGCAGAAGAAUCAAAUCCUGAGUGAACAGAUACUGUGGCCUGUGAAACCAAAGAGAGAUGCUGAACGUUUCAAGUCAUUUGGUGUCCGUGGACCAAACCCUGUGGAGGAACAGCCUUGUGGAGUGGAGGUGACCCCGGCUCACUCAGCCAGGCUGGCGUUGGCUUCCACUGCGCUUCAAACCCUGUGUUUACUCUGAAGUCCCACAUUUGCUUUGCAACAGCCUGAUCAUCAAAGCAGACAAAAACACAUCUGGCUGCAAAUCUCCAAACUGAUGUUUCCAAAUUUUCUCCCACUCCUCUGACUUGGAAUCACAAAAAAUUAAAAUUGUGCUUUUCCUGAAGGUUCACAAGCUGAAGCUAGUCUACCUAAUAAGUAGACUCCAGAAGAAUCACUGUGAUGGUUUGUAUAUUGACAACCUUUAUGAUAUUUAAACUGCAAACCAGGAUAAUCUGUCAGAUUGUUACUGCAUACCCUGCUCCAACUAAAGAUGCCCAGACCAGAUUUAAAAAUAUUCUCAGCUGAGGGCCCUCCAGUUGCAGACUAGAUUAUAUACUGCUCCCUAGAAAAGUCUCUUAUUAAAUAACCUGUAUGUUUGCACCAUAUCAAGACCUAGCCUUGAUGGAAGUCCUACUAUCUCCUCAAAUAGUUACAAUUGUUUAAUUGGAUAGGCCAGGAAUGGGAGAUGGGUUUAAUGGUAUCCUUUGCCACUUAGCUUCUAACUGAAAUUCUGUCUCUCCAGCCACCAAUUCAGCUUUUAGUAUGUGUGUGAAGCUUCUAGGGAAGUUUCAGACCAGGGAAUGGCAGAGCACAGAGACUGAUA
This is a long non-coding RNA of Callithrix jacchus (white-tufted-ear marmoset), 1839 nucleotides long. NCBI's taxonomy places the organism in Eukaryota, Metazoa, Chordata, Mammalia, Primates, Cebidae. The record is from Ensembl.